UGAGGAAUAUUGGUCAAUGGGCGAGAGCCUGAACCAGCCAAGUCGCGUGAGGGAGUACUGCCCUAUGGGUUGUAAACCUCUUUUGUCGGGGAGCAAAAGCCGGACGUGUCCGGCUGUGAGAGUACCCGAAGAAAAAGCAUCGGCUAACUCCGUGCCAGCAGCCGCGGUAAUACGGAGGAUGCGAGCGUUAUCCGGAUUUAUUGGGUUUAAAGGGUGCGCAGGCGGAUUAUUAAGUCAGCGGUCAAAUCGUGGGGCUCAACCCCAUCCAGCCGUUGAAACUGGGGAUCUAGAGUGUGCGAGAGGUAUGCGGAAUGCGUGGUGUAGCGGUGAAAUGCAUAGAUAUCACGCAGAACCCCGAUUGCGAAGGCAGCAUACCGGUGCACAACUGACGCUCAGGCACGAAAGCGUGGGUAUCGAACAGG
RNAcentral lists this ribosomal RNA (422 nucleotides) under uncultured bacterium. Its description in RNAcentral is "bacterial SSU rRNA". It matches the Rfam family "Bacterial small subunit ribosomal RNA", at positions 355 to 776 of the family's 1533-position model. The record is from RNAcentral.